UACGAAGGGGGCUAGCGUUGUUCGGAAUUACUGGGCGUAAAGCGCGUGUAGGCGGGCCGUUAAGUCGGGUGUGAAAGCCCAGAGCUCAACUCUGGAAUUGCCUUAGAUACUGGCGGCCUGGAUCAUGAUAGAGGCGAGUGGAAUUGCGAGUGUAGAGGUGAAAUUCGUAGAUAUUCGCAGGAACACCAGUGGCGAAUGCGACUCGCUGGAUCAUUGCUGACGCUGAGACGCGAAAGCGUGGGGAGCAAACAGU
Molecule: ribosomal RNA, 253 nt
Filed under: uncultured bacterium
Lineage: Bacteria
Description: partial 16S ribosomal RNA
Rfam family: Bacterial small subunit ribosomal RNA
Source: RNAcentral